RNAcentral lists this ribosomal RNA (301 nucleotides) under uncultured bacterium. RNAcentral's name for it is "partial 16S ribosomal RNA". It matches the Rfam family "Bacterial small subunit ribosomal RNA", at positions 509 to 807 of the family's 1533-position model. The record is from RNAcentral.
CAGUAGCCGCGGUAAAACGUAGGUGGCAAGCGUUGUCCGGAAUUAUUGGGCGUAAAGGGCUCGCAGGCGGUUUCUUAGGUCUGAUGUGAAAGCCCCCGGCUCAACCGGGGAGGGUCAUUGGAAACUGGGAAACUUGAGUGCAGAAGAGGAGAGUGGAAUUCCACGUGUAGCGGUGAAAUGCGUAGAGAUGUGGAGGAACACCAGUGGCGAAGGCGACUCUCUGGUCUGUAACUGACGCUGAGGAGCGAAAGCGUGGGGAGCGAACAGGAUUAGAUACCCCCGUAGUCCCUGUCUCUUAUAC